AGGAUUUGUAUUCUGUAAACCUAGUACGUGAGAACCAAGAGCAGGCAGCAAGUCUCCGGGUUGCCUGGGUGGCCUCACUGAGCUGGGCUGGCACUGUGAGGUGGGACUGAAACUGCCCCGGCGGUGUUAAAGAGAGAAGCUGAGAGAAGUAGACUUGUCCGUGGCUGAAAAUAGAACCGGGUGAAGACGGAAAAGAGGAGAUGUGCCGUUUUAUAUCUGUCGUAAUAUGAACAGGCAUCGUGUCAGUUACAAGAGAAAAUGGCACUGUAAACAAAAACCAGGUGGCAUUUGAAAGGUGAAAAUUCUGCUUCCUUUCUGGCAAACACUGCGCCUUCAAACACGGUUGGCAUCACCCUUCUGAAGUGCUCUACUCUGCUCAUCUUGGUACCAGUGACAUCCAGCAAAAAAUAAUCCUUGAAAGGAAAGGACUAGCAAGCAAUUGAGGAGUAACAUUUCAAAUGAAAUAGAAGGGGAAAUAGCCUACUCAUCUAGAACUUCAUCAUGCUUUUAGGCCAGGCCAAGUUCCUAAUAAUAUCCAUAUGCAUAUAACCACAAUAUUCAGUUGGCCUAUACAUACCAUCUAUAGCCUACUGGAGCUGGGUUCUAUUUGGUCCCACUCAUUGGAUGUGGCAACUUGCCUCUUUCAAUGUGGAAAGAGUAAACACUCACCCCCAGAGUGUAUGUCCCCACAGACAUGAGUUAUUGUGCCAGGAAAUGUUCGUGAGCCCCCAAAAGACCACCAAGAAGCUGAAUCUGAUGCAAUCACAUUAGGGUCUCUUUAUUCAAGCUCGAGCUUGGCCCCACCCCCUGUCAACCUUGACACAGCAGGAAGGUAGAGCCCCCAGCCCAGUUUCAGUCAAGCAUUUAUAAAGACAAGAAGGAGGUAUCUAGCCUGUGCACAUCUGAUUGGGGGACCAUUAUGGCCUUUAACAUAAUUGGCUGGUGCUGGGAGCCAAACCAUAAACUUAACUUCUGUUUUCCUCCUGAUUGGUGGUUGUUAGGAAGUGACGUGUCAGGGGAGGUCUUGUAACUUGGGAGUGCAGAUUUGUUGGGGAAUAACCUGGAAACUGGUGCUAGACACAGGUCUUGUUAGGUGGUAGCCUAGAAACUGGUGGUAGGUACUAGCCUGUUAACUUGAGUUCAACCUUAGGUCAGGAUCUCUAAGAUGGAGUCUGAACCCAAAAGAUCUGGUCUCUCAGUAUCACAUCCCUCUCAGCAUCUGAUAGAAUGCCAGUCCUUAGCUCAACACCUCACAGGUAACAACUGCGUGUUAAACGAAUGAAUGCAUCUUCACGAGUCACUAUUCAGGCUUCACAAAGUCCUACAAAACAGGAUGAUCCAAUCAGCCAUGACCUGAAAGAGUUAAGGUGACCUGAACAGUCACAGAACAAUAGCAUUCAAUGAGAAUGAAAACAGUACCUACCUGUGAUG
Long non-coding RNA from Mus pahari (shrew mouse), 1431 nucleotides. RefSeq lists it as uncharacterized. The record is from RefSeq and is a predicted model, not a curated record. Lineage: Eukaryota; Metazoa; Chordata; Mammalia; Rodentia; Muridae. The transcript is spliced from 3 exons.